GGGAGGGGAGGUGGGUGCGCGGUGGGGUUGCGACCUGAGGCGGCGGGGACAGGUCAG
Molecule: unclassified non-coding RNA, 57 nt
Organism: Microcebus murinus (gray mouse lemur)
Lineage: Eukaryota; Metazoa; Chordata; Mammalia; Primates; Cheirogaleidae
Source: Ensembl